GACGAACGCUGGCGGCGUGCUUAACACAUGCAAGUCGAACGGAAAGGCCCUGCUUUUGUGGGGUGCUCGAGUGGCGAACGGGUGAGUAACACGUGAGUAACCUGCCCUUGACUUUGGGAUAACUUCAGGAAACUGGGGCUAAUACCGGAUAGGAGCUCCUGCUGCAUGGUGGGGGUUGGAAAGUUUCGGCGGUUGGGGAUGGACUCGCGGCUUAUCAGCUUGUUGGUGGGGUAGUGGCUUACCAAGGCUUUGACGGGUAGCCGGCCUGAGAGGGUGACCGGCAAAAUUGGGACUAGGUAACGGCCCAAAUUCUUAGGGGGGGAAGAGGUGGGAAAUAUGGACAAUGGGCGGAAGGCCGAAUGCGCAACGCCGGCUGGGGGAAUGAGGGCCUCGGGUUGUAAACCGCUUUCGCCUGUGACGAAGCGUGAGUGACGGUAAUGGGUAAAGAAGCACCGGCUAACUACGUG
This 467-nucleotide ribosomal RNA is filed under the name uncultured bacterium. Its description in RNAcentral is "partial 16S ribosomal RNA". It matches the Rfam family "Bacterial small subunit ribosomal RNA", at positions 28 to 507 of the family's 1533-position model. The record is from RNAcentral.